Drosophila melanogaster (fruit fly) is the source of this 530-nucleotide non-coding RNA. The record is from Ensembl. NCBI's taxonomy places the organism in Eukaryota, Metazoa, Arthropoda, Insecta, Diptera, Drosophilidae.
ACUCGAUUCCACUCUUACCAUAACUUAUAGAAAUCCGGGUUGAUUUCCAUUACUUUUCACACGCCAUUAGCUGCUCUUGCUAUUUCGCGCUAUUUCAGUGUGAACCUCAAGCGGUCUCGGGCAACUAACCGACAACUCUUAAGCUGCCAGCAACCACAGCAACCGCUAUCCCCACCUCUUUCUGUCGGCAGGGUGCAAGUCAGGAUGCCACUUGAUCAUUAACAGCGAACCACGGAGUGCGUAGGGGCAGGAGCGCGCGGGAUGGCAAGCGCGGUAGCUGCACUGUUUAACAGCUUCGGGCAAUUGCAAACGUAAAUCAAAUGCCACAUUUCGCAGUGGCAGCAGCACACCUACAAAAGCCCCUCCACACUUAUUUUAUUUGUAAUUUUUAACAACUCGAAACUUGUGUAGGUUGAACUUGCACAAAAAACAUAUGUAGCAUAUCGCAUAUCGCCUUUCCGCGAACUUAGAAGAAUAAUACUCUUAGCCCUAACUGUCAUUGAAAUAUUUUUAUACCAGAUUUAAUACAG